This 308-nucleotide ribosomal RNA is filed under the name Boophis quasiboehmei. RNAcentral's name for it is "partial 16S ribosomal RNA". It matches the Rfam family "Bacterial large subunit ribosomal RNA", at positions 2219 to 2590 of the family's 2925-position model. Lineage: Eukaryota; Metazoa; Chordata; Amphibia; Anura; Mantellidae. The record is from RNAcentral.
AUUCUAUACCCCAUUAUUUGCCCGACCCCUGUCUGCUCAGUUUUAGGUUGGGGUGACCACGGAGUAUAAAAUAACCUCCAUGAAGAAGGGGAUAUUUCCCUUAUUAGAGAACCACACUUCCAAGAACUAAUAAAUUAAUUUUCAAUGACCCGAUACCCGAUAAUCGAUCAACGAACCAAGUUACCCUGGGGAUAACAGCGCAAUCCACCCUGAAAGCCCUUAUUAACAGGUGGGUUUACGACCUCGAUGUUGGAUCAGGGUAUCCCAGUGGUGCAGCAGCUACUGAGGGUUCGUUUGUUCAACGAUUA